RNAcentral lists this ribosomal RNA (274 nucleotides) under uncultured bacterium. RNAcentral's name for it is "partial 16S ribosomal RNA". It matches the Rfam family "Bacterial small subunit ribosomal RNA", at positions 523 to 796 of the family's 1533-position model. The record is from RNAcentral.
AUACGGAGGGGGCUAGCGUUGUUCGGAAUUACUGGGCGUAAAGCGUCCGCAGGCGGAUAAUUAAGUUAGAGGUGAAAUCCCAGGGCUCAACCCUGGAACUGCCUUUAAAACUGGUUAUCUAGAGUUAUGGAGAGGUAAGUGGAAUUCCUAGUGUAGAGGUGAAAUUCGUAGAUAUUAGGAGGAACACCAGAGGCGAAGGCGGCUUACUGGACAUAUACUGACGCUGAGGGACGAAAGUGUGGGGAGCGAACGGGAUUAGAUACCCCAGUAGUCC